AAACUUCAUCCCCUCUUUCUCAUUUUUGUUUCUUCUUUCUACAGCCAACUUUCUCCAAAUUUGAAGAAGAAAAAUCAAGUUAAAACCUUAUAUCAUCCCAAUUUUGAAAGGCUUAAGCAAAGGAGCAAGAAGAACUAACAAUCCAAGCUUAAAGAACCCUAAUUUCCUUGAAGUGUUUUGGUAGAGUUUGAAGGGAGAAAGGGUGGCAGUUGGAAUUCAAGUGAGGUCAAUGUUGUAAUCUUUAUCUUUGACCAUAUUUAAGUAGAGAUUUCUUUAUGGGUAAGGUAGAAACAUCUAGAAAUGGAAUUGAAAGCUUGUAUGUGUGCUGGAACACUGGUUCUGCAAAU
Molecule: unclassified non-coding RNA, 347 nt
Filed under: Hevea brasiliensis (rubber tree)
Lineage: Eukaryota; Viridiplantae; Streptophyta; Magnoliopsida; Malpighiales; Euphorbiaceae
Source: RNAcentral